This 867-nucleotide ribosomal RNA is filed under the name Pseudodesulfovibrio halophilus. RNAcentral describes it as "bacterial SSU rRNA". It matches the Rfam family "Bacterial small subunit ribosomal RNA", at positions 66 to 914 of the family's 1533-position model. The record is from RNAcentral. Lineage: Bacteria; Pseudomonadati; Thermodesulfobacteriota; Desulfovibrionia; Desulfovibrionales; Desulfovibrionaceae.
GCGAGAAGUUUCCUUCGGGAGAUGAGUAGAGCGGCGCACGGGUGAGUAACGCGUGGGUAAUCUACCCGACAGAUCGGGAUAACAGAUGGAAACGUCUGCUAAUACCGGAUACGCUUCAUAUUUGACUUUAUGGGGGAAAGGUGGCCUCUACAUGUAAGCUACCACUGUCGGAUGGGCCCGCGUCUCAUUAGCUUGUUGGUGGGGUAAUGGCCUACCAAGGCAACGAUGAGUAGCUGGUUUGAGAGGAUGAUCAGCCACACUGGGACUGAAACACGGCCCAGACUCCUACGGGAGGCAGCAGUGGGGAAUAUUGCGCAAUGGGGGAAACCCUGACGCAGCGACGCCGUGUGCGGGAAGAAGGCCUUCGGGUCGUAAACCGCUGUCAGGAGGGAAGAAACCAUUAGAGUCGAAUAGGCUCUUUUGCUGACGGUACCUCCAGAGGAAGCACCGGCUAACUCCGUGCCAGCAGCCGCGGUAAUACGGAGGGUGCAAGCGUUAAUCGGAAUCACUGGGCGUAAAGCGUGCGUAGGCGGCGCAGUAAGUCAGGGGUGAAAGCCCUCGGCUCAACCGAGGAAUUGCCUCUGAUACUGCUGUGCUUGAGGCUUGGAGAGGCAGGCGGAAUUCCAGGUGUAGGGAGUGAAAUCCGUAGAUAUCUGGAGGAACACCGGUGGCGAAGGCGGCCUGCUGGACAAGUUCUGACGCUGAGGUACGAAAGCGUGGGUAGCAAACAGGAUUAGAUACCCUGGUAGUCCACGCCGUAAACGAUGGAUGCUAGGUGUCGGGCCGUUGGGUUCGGUGCCGAAGUUAACGCGAUAAGCAUCCCGCCUGGGGAGUACGGUCGCAAGGCUGAGACUCAGAGGAAUUGAC